UACAGAGGGGGCAAGCGUUGUUCGGAAUUACUGGGCGUAAAGGGCGCGUAGGCGGCCUGCUACGUCGGACGUGAAAUCCCUGGGCUCAACCCAGGAACUGCGUCCGAUACUGGUUGGCUUGAAUCCGGGAGAGGGAUGUGGAAUUCCAGGUGUAGCGGUGAAAUGCGUAGAUAUCUGGAGGAACACCGGUGGCGAAGGCGGCAUCCUGGACCAACACUGACACUGAGGAGCGAAAGCCAGGGGAGCAAACGGG
This 253-nucleotide ribosomal RNA is filed under the name uncultured bacterium. Its description in RNAcentral is "partial 16S ribosomal RNA". It matches the Rfam family "Bacterial small subunit ribosomal RNA", at positions 524 to 776 of the family's 1533-position model. The record is from RNAcentral.